This 425-nucleotide ribosomal RNA is filed under the name uncultured bacterium. RNAcentral's name for it is "bacterial SSU rRNA". It matches the Rfam family "Bacterial small subunit ribosomal RNA", at positions 33 to 496 of the family's 1533-position model. The record is from RNAcentral.
ACGCUCGCGGCAGGCUUAACACAUGCAAGUCGAACGCCCCGCAAGGGGAGUGGCAGACGUGGUGAGUAACACGUGGGAACAUGCCCAAAGGUACGGAAUAUCCUCGGGAAACUGGGAGCAAUACCGUAUGUGCCCGAAAGGGGAAAGAUUUAUCGCCUUUGGAUUGGCCCGCGUUGGAUUAGCUAGUUGGUGGGGUAAAAGCCUACCAAGGCGACGAUCCAUAGCUGGUCUGAGAGGACGACCAGCCACACUGGGACUGAGACACGGCCCACGACUCCUACGAGGAGGCAGCACGUGGGGAAUCUUGGACAAUGGGCGCAAGCCUGAUCCCAGCCAUGCCGCGUGAGUGAUGAAGGCCUCUAGGGUUGUAAAACUCCUUUCGUGGGGGACGACGAUAAUGACGGUACCCCAAGAAGAAGCUCCGG